CAGCAGCCACGGUAAUACGUAGGUGGCAAGCGUUGUCCGGAAUUAUUGGGCGUAAAGGGCUCGCAGGCGGUUUCUUAAGUCUGAUGUGAAAGCCCCCGGCUCAACCGGGGAGGGUCAUUGGAAACUGGGAAACUUGAGUGCAGAAGAGGAGAGUGGAAUUCCACGUGUAGUGAUGAAAUGCGUAGAGAUGUGGAGGAACACCAGUGGCGAAGGCGACUCUCUGGUCUGUAACUGACGCUGAGGAGCGAAAACGUGGGGAGCGAACAGGAUUAGAUACCCCAGUAGUCCCUGUCUCUUAUAC
This 301-nucleotide ribosomal RNA is filed under the name uncultured bacterium. RNAcentral describes it as "partial 16S ribosomal RNA". It matches the Rfam family "Bacterial small subunit ribosomal RNA", at positions 509 to 807 of the family's 1533-position model. The record is from RNAcentral.